GUAGGUGGCAAGCGUUGUCCGGAAUUAUUGGGCGUAAAGCGCGCGCAGGCGGUCCUUUAAGUCUGAUGUGAAAGCCCACGGCUCAACCGUGGAGGGUCAUUGGAAACUGGGGGACUUGAGUACAGAAGAGGAAAGCGGAAUUCCAAGUGUAGCGGUGAAAUGCGUAGAGAUUUGGAGGAACACCAGUGGCGAAGGCGGCUUUCUGGUCUGUAACUGACCCUGAGGCGCGAAAGCGUGGGGAGCAAACAGGAUUAGAUACCCUGGUAGUCCACGCCGUAAGCGAUGAGUGCUAAGUGUUAGGGGGUUUCCCGCCCCUUAGUGCUGCAGCUAACGCAUUAAGCACUCCGCCUGGGGAGUACGGCCGCAAGGCUG
Molecule: ribosomal RNA, 372 nt
Filed under: uncultured organism
Description: partial 16S ribosomal RNA
Rfam family: Bacterial small subunit ribosomal RNA
Source: RNAcentral